Molecule: ribosomal RNA, 495 nt
Filed under: uncultured bacterium
Lineage: Bacteria
Description: bacterial SSU rRNA
Rfam family: Bacterial small subunit ribosomal RNA
Source: RNAcentral
ACUCAAAUGAAUUGACGGGGACCCGCACAAGCAGCGGAGCAUGUGGUUUAAUUCGAAGCAACGCGAAGAACCUUACCAAGGCUUGACAUCCCUCGCUAAGGGCAGAGAUGCCCCGUUCCUUCGGGACGAGGAGACAGGUGGUGCAUGGUUGUCGUCAGCUCGUGUCGUGAGAUGUUGGGUUAAGUCCCGCAACGAGCGCAACCCCUGUGAAUAGUUGCCAAUAUUCAGUUAGGAACUCUAUUCAGACUGCCGUGGGUAACACGGAGGAAGGUGGGGACGACGUCAAAUCAUCAUGCCCCUUAUGUCUUGGGCUACACACGUGCUACAAUGGCCGUAACAAAGGGCAGCGAAGCCGCAAGGCGGAGCGAAUCUCACAAAUACGGUCUCAGUUCAGAUUGUGGGCUGCAACCCGCCCGCAUGAAGACGGAGUUGCUAGUAAUCGCGAAUCAGCAUGUCGCGGUGAAUGCGUUCCCGGGUCUUGUACACACCGCCCGU